UACGUAGGGCGCAAGCGUUAUCCGGAAUUAUUGGGCGUAAAGAGCUCGUAGGCGGUUUGUCGCGUCUGCCGUGAAAGUCCGGGGCUCAACUCCGGGAUCUGCGGUGGGUACGGGGCAGACUAGAGUGAUGUAGGGGGAGACUGGAAUUCCUGGUGUAGCGGUGAAAUGCGCAGGAUAUCAGGAGGAACACCGAUGGCGAAGGCAGGUCUCUGGGCAUUAACUGACGCUGAGGAGCGAAAGCGUGGGGAGCGAACGG
RNAcentral lists this ribosomal RNA (256 nucleotides) under uncultured bacterium. RNAcentral describes it as "partial 16S ribosomal RNA". It matches the Rfam family "Bacterial small subunit ribosomal RNA", at positions 524 to 775 of the family's 1533-position model. The record is from RNAcentral.